Molecule: transfer RNA, 76 nt
Filed under: Acinetobacter baumannii
Lineage: Bacteria; Pseudomonadati; Pseudomonadota; Gammaproteobacteria; Moraxellales; Moraxellaceae
Description: tRNA-Trp
Rfam family: tRNA
About the family: Transfer RNA (tRNA) molecules are approximately 80 nucleotides in length.
Source: RNAcentral
AGGGGCGUAGUUCGAGUGGUAGAGGACCGGUCUCCAAAACCGGGUGGUGGGAGUUCUAGUCUCUCCGCCCCUGCCA